RNAcentral lists this ribosomal RNA (682 nucleotides) under uncultured bacterium. RNAcentral's name for it is "bacterial SSU rRNA". It matches the Rfam family "Bacterial small subunit ribosomal RNA", at positions 138 to 807 of the family's 1533-position model. The record is from RNAcentral.
CUGGGAUACCACUUGGAAACAGGUGCUAAUACCGGAUAACAACAAUAGCUGCAUGGCUAUUCUUAAAAGGCGGCGAAAGCUGUCGCUAAAGGAUGGACCCGCGGUGCAUUAGCUAGUUGGUAAGGUAAUGGCUUACCAAGGCGACGAUGCAUAGCCGAGUUGAGAGACUGAUCGGCCACAUUGGGACUGAGACACGGCCCAAACUCCUACGGGAGGCAGCAGUAGGGAAUCUUCCACAAUGGGCGAAAGCCUGAUGGAGCAACGCCGCGUGAGUGAAGAAGGUUUUCGGAUCGUAAAGCUCUGUUGUUGGUGAAGAAGGAUAGAGGUAGUAACUGGCCCCUAUUUGACGGUAAUCAACCAGAAAGUCACGGCUAACUACGUGCCAGCAGCCGCGGUAAUACGUAGGUGGCAAGCGUUGUCCGGAUUUAUUGGGCGUAAAGCGAGCGCAGGCGGAAAGAUAAGUCUGAUGUGAAAGCCCCCGGCUUAACCGAGGAAUUGCAUCGGAAACAGUGUUUCUUGAGUGCAGAAGAGGAGAGUGGAACUCCAUGUGUAGCGGUGGAAUGCGUAGAUAUAUGGAAGAACACCAGUGGCGAAGGCGGCUCUCUGGUCUGUAACUGACGCUGAGGCUCGAAAGCAUGGGUAGCGAACAGGAUUAGAUACCCUGGUAGUCCAUGCCGUAAAC